GCUGUGUCUAUCUUAAAGACGUGGAUCGUUUGGGCAUGGCUCUGAUUUAUAGGAUGGGAUGCUUUCUCGUGCCCUCGUACCAUUCGUUCAGCGUGUGGCGCUCUAGUGCACCAUUUAGUUUACAACUGACUAGAAAGAGAAAAGAAAAAUGGCGAUGGCAAGACGGUCAGCUGAUGGAGAAACAAUUGGCGCCCUCGACUGGAAUGCAGCAACGACGACCCAAUCGCCCAGUGUAAACCAGACAGUUCACCGAUGGCUGUGCUGCGUUUGAAUGCAAUUCAUAGCGGAGGAAGUUCUCUGAUCUUUUUCUAGGGUGCAGAUGAGACCUUAAUCCAGUACGUACAUCCAUUGGAACACCGGAGGAUGAAUCUUUUGUGCUGAAAUCAGCUUAAGGAAAAAUCAAUUGCCUGUGACUUGGAUUGGAAUUAAGUCAUUUGAUGUACGUACAAGAUCUACCAUUAUGUUGAAGUAAGUCACAACAGGAAAGGCUUUCAUUUCAUUCACCAAAGAAAACAUUUAGGAAGAGCUGAUGAAGCAUGAAUAGCAGAUUGACAACUCAUUGUCGUGUACUUUCCAACAAAAGGAUUAUAGCCAAUGAAACGUUUGACAUCCAAGCCAUCAGAAUCAUGCAUGGGUUUGAAGCAAUUAGGCAACGUGUAAUUUUGUACGAAAAAAAGGAGAAGGGGUAACAAAAGAAAAGUAUACAAAGCCGUCUGACCAUUACCUUUACACAUGCUAAAUGUCGAUGGUGUCUAUCUGAAAGACGUGGAUCGUUUGGUCGUGGCUCUGAUUACAGGACUGGCAUGGGUUGAUGGCGCUUUCUGUUUACCUGCUUUCAUUGUUAAGAUUCCAUUCAGGGCAUGGCUCAGGUUGUUUAAACAGGUGGUUGCGUAGACAUUUCAUGGCACUGUUCAUACCAAAUUGGCCGCGAUGUUGUAUCAAGCAGCCUUCAUGGAUUUGACCCAAUAACUUUGGAUGUCAAAGCUUCUCGAAUUUCAUCCUGAUAGGAACAGUGAUGUAAUGUAACUGCAGAGCCUUCAAUCGGUUGUCCCUGUUUUCCAGUUGCAAUAUUUUACUCUCCAAAAGUGAAAGAA
Long non-coding RNA from Daphnia carinata, 1094 nucleotides. RefSeq lists it as uncharacterized. NCBI's taxonomy places the organism in Eukaryota, Metazoa, Arthropoda, Branchiopoda, Diplostraca, Daphniidae. The transcript has 8 exons. The record is from RefSeq and is a predicted model, not a curated record.